Molecule: unclassified non-coding RNA, 685 nt
Filed under: Hevea brasiliensis (rubber tree)
Lineage: Eukaryota; Viridiplantae; Streptophyta; Magnoliopsida; Malpighiales; Euphorbiaceae
Source: RNAcentral
GUCGACUCCGCCUCUGUUGCGACAGCCUUGGCCAAAUAUGAUUUUCCAGUUCCAGGUGGACCAUACAGUAGAAAUGCUCUCCAUGGCUUUCGCUUACCAGUGAAAAACUGUGGGAACUUCACCGGAAGAAUAACCGCCUCCUGCAGCGCCUGCUUGGCGCUCUCCAGCCCUGCGACAUCAUUCCACUUAAUAUUCGGCUUCUCCUGGAUAAUCGCGCUACUCAGCCCCGCCCUCAGCUUGGACUGCUCCGUAUCCUCCCCAUCCCCUCCACCGCCAUCCUUCGGCUUCGUCUUCGGCCGCGUAGCGACCGCGGCAUCCCCGUUGGCGGCGGGGCCAGGGCCGCCCUCGUCGAGGACGGCGCGGAUCUCCUCGGCGCGGCGGAGGUACUCGGUGAACUUCUGGGUGAUGGCUUCCUUGAUCUUAGGGUUCUUCUCGUACUUGAGGUGUGUGCGGAAGUACUCGAGGGCGUUCAUGUAGAGGGGGAAGGCCUUGACGUAGUUGCCGGCAUUGUCUUCUUGGACGGCUUGCUUGACGUACUCGAUCGCCUGCUCCUUGAAGUUGCUGUACAUCUCCGAUCACGGGAAACGGGGAGAGGAGGUGGGGGUGGAGAUGAGGGCGGAACCCUAGAAAUUGAGACGGCGCCGAUCGCGGCGGAACCCUAGGAAUCGAUGCGCCGCCGAUCGGG